GAUGAACGCUGGCGGCGUGCCUAAUACAUGCAAGUCGAGCGAACAGACGAGGAGCUUGCUCCUCUGACGUUAUCGGCGGACGGGAGAGUAACACGUGGAUAACCUACCUAUACGACUGGGAUAAUUUCGGGAGACCGGAGCUAAUACCGGAUAAUAUAUUGCACUGCAUGGUUCAAUAGUUGAAGACGCUUUUGCUGUCACUUAUAGAUGGCUACGCGCCGCAUUAGCUAGUUGGUAAGGUAACGGCUUACCAAGGCAACGAUGCGUAGCCGACCCGAGAGGGUGAUCCGCCACACUGGCAGUGAGGAUCGGUCCCGACUCCGACGGGAGGCAGCAGUAGGGAAUCUUCCGCAAUGGGCGAGAGCCUGACGGAGCAACGCCGCGUGAGUGAUGAAGGUGUUCGGAUCGUAGAACUCUGUUAUUAGGGAAGAACAAAUGUGUAAGUAACUAUGCAGGUCUUGACGGUACCGAAUCAGAAAGCCACGGCUAACUACGUG
This 497-nucleotide ribosomal RNA is filed under the name uncultured bacterium. Its description in RNAcentral is "partial 16S ribosomal RNA". It matches the Rfam family "Bacterial small subunit ribosomal RNA", at positions 28 to 507 of the family's 1533-position model. The record is from RNAcentral.